GAUAAACGCUGGCGGCGUGCCUAAUACAUGCAAGUCGAGCGAACGGACGAGAAGCUUGCUUCUCUGAUGUUAGCGGCGGACGGGUGAGUAACACGUGGAUAACCUACCUAUAAGACUGGGAUAACUUCGGGAAACCGGAGCUAAUACCGGAUAAUAUUUUGAACCGCAUGGUUCAAAAGUGAAAGACGGUCUUGCUGUCACUUAUAGAUGGAUCCGCGCUGCAUUAGCUAGUUGGUAAGGUAACGGCUUACCAAGGCAACGAUGCAUAGCCGACCUGAGAGGGUGAUCGGCCACACUGGAACUGAGACACGGUCCAGACUCCUACGGGAGGCAGCAGUAGGGAAUCUUCCGCAAUGGGCGAAAGCCUGACGGAGCAACGCCGCGUGAGUGAUGAAGGUCUUCGGAUCGUAAAACUCUGUUAUUAGGGAAGAACAUAUGUGUAAGUAACUGUGCACAUCUUGACGGUACCUAAUCAGAAAGCCACGGCUAACUACGCGCCAGCAGCCGCGGUAAUACGUAGGUGGCAAGCGUUAUCCGGAAUUAUUGGGCGUAAAGCGCGCGUAGGCGGUUUUUUAAGUCUGAUGUGAAAGCCCACGGCUCAACCGUGGAGGGUCAUUGGAAACUGGAAAACUUGAGUGCAGAAGAGGAAAGUGGAAUUCCAUGUGUAGCGGUGAAAUGCGCAGAGAUAUGGAGGAACACCAGUGGCGAAGGCGACUUUCUGGUCUGUAACUGACGCUGAUGUGCGAAAGCGUGGGGAUCAAACAGGAUUAGAUACCCUGGUAGUCCACGCCGUAAACGAUGAGUGCUAAGUGUUAGGGGGUUUCCGCCCCUUAGUGCUGCAGCUAACGCAUUAAGCACUCCGCCUGGGGAGUACGACCGCAAGGUUGAAACUCAAAGGAAUUGACGGGGACCCGCACAAGCGGUGGAGCAUGUGGUUUAAUUCGAAGCAACGCGAAGAACCUUACCAAAUCUUGACAUCCUUUGACAACUCUAGAGAUAGAGCCUUCCCCUUCGGGGGACAAAGUGACAGGUGGUGCAUGGUUGUCGUCAGCUCGUGUCGUGAGAUGUUGGGUUAAGUCCCGCAACGAGCGCAACCCUUAAGCUUAGUUGCCAUCAUUAAGUUGGGCACUCUAAGUUGACUGCCGGUGACAAACCGGAGGAAGGUGGGGAUGACGUCAAAUCAUCAUGCCCCUUAUGAUUUGGGCUACACACGUGCUACAAUGGACAAUACAAAGGGCAGCGAAACCGCGAGGUCAAGCAAAUCCCAUAAAGUUGUUCUCAGUUCGGAUUGUAGUCUGCAACUCGACUACAUGAAGCUGGAAUCGCUAGUAAUCGUAGAUCAGCAUGCUACGGUGAAUACGUUCCCGGGUCU
Molecule: ribosomal RNA, 1372 nt
Filed under: uncultured bacterium
Lineage: Bacteria
Description: bacterial SSU rRNA
Rfam family: Bacterial small subunit ribosomal RNA
Source: RNAcentral